This 253-nucleotide ribosomal RNA is filed under the name uncultured bacterium. Its description in RNAcentral is "partial 16S ribosomal RNA". It matches the Rfam family "Bacterial small subunit ribosomal RNA", at positions 524 to 776 of the family's 1533-position model. The record is from RNAcentral.
UACGGGGGGGUAAGCGUUGUUCGGAAUUACUGGGCGUAAAGGGCGCGUAGGCGGCAUGACAAGUCACUUGUGAAAUCUCUGGGCUUAACCCAGAACGGCCAAGUGAUACUGUCGCGCUAGAGUGCGGAAGGGGCAAUCGGAAUUCUCGGUGUAGCGGUGAAAUGCGUAGAUAUCGAGAGGAACACCUGAGGUGAAGACGGGUUGCUGGGCCGACACUGACGCUGAGUGCGCGAAAGCCAGGGGAGCAAACGGG